Molecule: ribosomal RNA, 714 nt
Filed under: Alteromonas sp. SS26
Lineage: Bacteria; Pseudomonadati; Pseudomonadota; Gammaproteobacteria; Alteromonadales; Alteromonadaceae
Description: bacterial SSU rRNA
Rfam family: Bacterial small subunit ribosomal RNA
Source: RNAcentral
UUCGGGUUGUAAAGCACUUUCAGUUGUGAGGAAAAGUUAGUAGUUAAUACCUGCUAGCCGUGACGUUAACAACAGAAGAAGCACCGGCUAACUCCGUGCCAGCAGCCGCGGUAAUACGGAGGGUGCGAGCGUUAAUCGGAAUUACUGGGCGUAAAGCGCACGCAGGCGGUUUGUUAAGCUAGAUGUGAAAGCCCCGGGCUCAACCUGGGAUGGUCAUUUAGAACUGGCAGACUAGAGUCUUGGAGAGGGGAGUGGAAUUCCAGGUGUAGCGGUGAAAUGCGUAGAUAUCUGGAGGAACAUCAGUGGCGAAGGCGACUCCCUGGCCAAAGACUGACGCUCAUGUGCGAAAGUGUGGGUAGCGAACAGGAUUAGAUACCCUGGUAGUCCACACCGUAAACGCUGUCUACUAGCUGUUUGUGACUUUAAGUCGUGAGUAGCGAAGCUAACGCGCUAAGUAGACCGCCUGGGGAGUACGGCCGCAAGGUUAAAACUCAAAUGAAUUGACGGGGGCCCGCACAAGCGGUGGAGCAUGUUGGUUUAAUUCGAUGCAACGCGAAGAACCUUACCUACACUUGACAUGCAGAGAACUUUCUAGAGAUAGAUUGGUGCCUUCGGGAACUCUGACACAGGUGCUGCAUGGCUGUCGUCAGCUCGUGUCGUGAGAUGUUGGGUUAAGUCCCGCAACGAGCGCAACCCUUGUCCUUAGUUGCCAGC